GCGGGGAGGCCUGGACCAGUCUGUCUGGUCCACUAGACCACUGAUCUCCGGUGCCUUCUUGGAAAUGACCCGACACACCUGAAGCCUGCAGGUGCUGAGGCCACAUUCGAUCAGACCCAAGCUUUGGGAGACCCCUGGGGAAAUUUCCCACUUCCUGUCCUGAGACCAGGAACUCAGCAGAGAAACUUUGUGGUAA
RNAcentral lists this long non-coding RNA (196 nucleotides) under Pongo abelii (Sumatran orangutan). RNAcentral describes it as "lincRNA". Lineage: Eukaryota; Metazoa; Chordata; Mammalia; Primates; Hominidae. The record is from RNAcentral.